RNAcentral lists this ribosomal RNA (722 nucleotides) under Pseudomonas sp. RNAcentral describes it as "bacterial SSU rRNA". It matches the Rfam family "Bacterial small subunit ribosomal RNA", at positions 23 to 740 of the family's 1533-position model. Lineage: Bacteria; Pseudomonadati; Pseudomonadota; Gammaproteobacteria; Pseudomonadales; Pseudomonadaceae. The record is from RNAcentral.
CUCAGAUUGAACGCUGGCGGCAGGCCUAACACAUGCAAGUCGAGCGGUAGAGAGAAGCUUGCUUCUCUUGAGAGCGGCGGACGGGUGAGUAAUGCCUAGGAAUCUGCCUGGUAGUGGGGGAUAACGUUCGGAAACGGACGCUAAUACCGCAUACGUCCUACGGGAGAAAGCAGGGGACCUUCGGGCCUUGCGCUAUCAGAUGAGCCUAGGUCGGAUUAGCUAGUUGGUGAGGUAAUGGCUCACCAAGGCGACGAUCCGUAACUGGUCUGAGAGGAUGAUCAGUCACACUGGAACUGAGACACGGUCCAGACUCCUACGGGAGGCAGCAGUGGGGAAUAUUGGACAAUGGGCGAAAGCCUGAUCCAGCCAUGCCGCGUGUGUGAAGAAGGUCUUCGGAUUGUAAAGCACUUUAAGUUGGGAGGAAGGGUUGUAGAUUAAUACUCUGCAAUUUUGACGUUACCGACAGAAUAAGCACCGGCUAACUCUGUGCCAGCAGCCGCGGUAAUACAGAGGGUGCAAGCGUUAAUCGGAAUUACUGGGCGUAAAGCGCGCGUAGGUGGUUUGUUAAGUUGGAUGUGAAAUCCCCGGGCUCAACCUGGGAACUGCAUUCAAAACUGACUGACUAGAGUGUGGUAGAGGGUGGUGGAAUUUCCUGUGUAGCGGUGAAAUGCGUAGAUAUAGGAAGGAACACCAGUGGCGAAGGCGACCACCUGGACCAACAC